Molecule: long non-coding RNA, 210 nt
Filed under: Pan troglodytes (chimpanzee)
Lineage: Eukaryota; Metazoa; Chordata; Mammalia; Primates; Hominidae
Description: lincRNA
Source: RNAcentral
AAUGACAACCUCACUCCAAAGUGGAGGUGUGCAUGGACUGACCAAGAAGGCUCAUCAGGCCUCAGUACACAAGGAACUCAAAGAAAUGGGUAAUUUAUUUUCAGAAUGAGCUAGAAAAUUAAUUCAUUAAAACUUUAUCCUCAGCCUCCUAGGACCAAAUGUUGGACUGAAGCAUUGGUGCAAAACAUAAAGACAUAUAUUUCUCCUUAA